GAGGUAACAUUCUAGGACAUGUCCUUGUCGUGCAGCUUGACAUCCAACGUUUUGUUGGUUUGUUAAGCUGCCUCUGUACACCUCACCUGGCCAUAGAGUAAUACAGAGGUACAUAGUACCAGUGUAAUGAUGUGACAUCUCAUGUUACCAAACAUUCAUUGGCCUCCAAUCCCUCAAACAUUA
Non-coding RNA from Strongylocentrotus purpuratus (purple sea urchin), 183 nucleotides. The record is from Rfam. Lineage: Eukaryota; Metazoa; Echinodermata; Echinoidea; Camarodonta; Strongylocentrotidae.